GGAAGCAGAGCCUGGGGUGUCCCCACCAUGGCCUGGGCUCCUCCGCUCCUCCUCACCCUCCUCGCUCACUGCACAGGGUCUUUGGCCAACUUUGUCUUGACUCAGCCCAGCUCUGUGUCGGGGUCUCCAGGGCAGAAGGUCACCAUCUCCUGCACCCGCAGCAGCGGCAACAUUGGCAGCUACUAUGUGCACUGGUACCAGCAGCGCCCGGGCAGUGCCCCCACCACUGUGAUCUACAAUGAUAACCAAAGACCCUCUGGAGUCCCCGAUCGGUUCUCUGGCUCCAUCGACAGCUCCUCCAACUCCGCCUCCCUGACCAUCUCUGGGCUGCAGUCUGAGGACGAGGCCGACUACUACUGUCAGUCCUAUGAUAGCAGUGCUAGUCACACAGUGCUCCGGACCAUGGGGAAGUGAGACAAAAACCCCCCAGGGCAUCCUCGCCCUGGCUCUGCCUUCAGCCUGUCCC
This is a non-coding RNA of Propithecus coquereli (Coquerel's sifaka), 466 nucleotides long. Lineage: Eukaryota; Metazoa; Chordata; Mammalia; Primates; Indriidae. The record is from the annotation of a RefSeq genome assembly.